UGCGUAGGUGGUCUCGCAUGUCGGAUGUGAAAUGUCACUGCUCAACGGUGGAAGGCCAUUCGAAACUGCGAGGCUAGAGUGCAGAAGAGGAGAGCGGAAUUCUCGGUGUAGCGGUGGAAUGCGUUGAUAUCGAGAAGAACACCGGUGGCGUAGGCGGCUCUCUGGUAUGCAACUGACACUGAGGCACAAAAGCGUGGGGAGCAAACA
Molecule: ribosomal RNA, 207 nt
Filed under: uncultured bacterium
Lineage: Bacteria
Description: partial 16S ribosomal RNA
Rfam family: Bacterial small subunit ribosomal RNA
Source: RNAcentral